CCCUUCGAUGUUCUGGGCCGCACGCGCGCUACACUGAUUGAGUCAACAAGUUUACAACCUUUUCCGAAAGGAAUGGGUAAUCUUUUGAAACUCAAUCGUGAUAGGGAUAGAUGAUUGCAAUUAUUUGUCUUAAACGAGGAAUGCCUAGUACGGAGGCUUCAACAGAGUCUCCGGAAUACGUCCCUGCCCUUUGUACACACCGCCCGUCGCUCCUACCGAUCGAAGAGUUAGGUGAAUUGUUUUGAUCGAUAAGAUUUGACUAUGGUCAACUCUCGUUGUGAAAUUCUGUGAAUCUGACUGUUUAGAGGAAGGAAAAGUCGUAACA
This 325-nucleotide ribosomal RNA is filed under the name uncultured eukaryote. Its description in RNAcentral is "partial 18S ribosomal RNA". It matches the Rfam family "Eukaryotic small subunit ribosomal RNA", at positions 1470 to 1796 of the family's 1831-position model. The record is from RNAcentral.